UUCUCUCCCUCUUCUGCAGGAUUCCCCAAGUUCUGCCUAAUGUUUGGCUGUGGGUCUACAUCGGUUUCCAUCACUUUCUGGAUAAUGCUUCGAGGAUGGCAAUUUGGAUAAGCACCAAGCUGGUCACAGGAGAUGGCCAGUUCUGCUACUUAUCUGCUUUCGGAAAAGGAAACCUGGAACUGGGGGAGCCGUCUGAAUUCUUGCCUGCAGUCUGAUCUAUUUGAAGUUGGCUGGGAGACCCAGAAAUCCAAUCACCAGUGCAUCCCAGGCCCUUCUCUUGACCUCGGCGGAGCACAGAGGGGGAAAGCAGAUGAGAGGAGCUGGCUUCUUUCACAAGAAUCUGCCUGGCUGGGAGCAGACAUUCCCUUGGAUUUGGGGAGGGGCAUUUGAAGGCCUGUGCAUAUGGCACGGGAUGGAAUCCAAUAAAAAGCAAGGAGCUGGGUGGGGGUCAUAAGCCAGACUGGUGUCAGCCGCUCCCUGGGGAGCACAGGCAGGGAGUUCCCACGCAGUGUUGAUUUUCCUCCGCCCUUCUCAGCUAUAAAGUAAAAGAUAUUGAAGUCGAUCCUCUGGGGUUUGUGUGCCUAUAUGUGUUCUUACACAGUUUCCCAAAUACACCGUUAUAAAUCAGACUUUCUGAUUCUUUGUGUGUGUCUGUCUCUGUGUGUAUCUGUCUCUGUGUCUCCUUCCCU
Molecule: long non-coding RNA, 689 nt
Filed under: Cricetulus griseus (Chinese hamster)
Lineage: Eukaryota; Metazoa; Chordata; Mammalia; Rodentia; Cricetidae
Description: lncRNA (ENSCGRG00000026188.1)
Source: RNAcentral